RNAcentral lists this ribosomal RNA (497 nucleotides) under uncultured bacterium. Its description in RNAcentral is "partial 16S ribosomal RNA". It matches the Rfam family "Bacterial small subunit ribosomal RNA", at positions 28 to 507 of the family's 1533-position model. The record is from RNAcentral.
GACGAACGCUGGCGGCGUGCCUAACACAUGCAAGUCGAACGAACAGACCAGGAGUUUGUGCGUCGGACGUUAGCGGCGGACGGGUGAGUAACACGUGGAUAACCUACCUGUAAGACGGGGAUAAUUACGGGAAAGCGGAGCUUACACCGGAUGAUAUAUUGAACCGCGGUGUGCAAUAGUGAGAUUCGGUUUUGGGGUCUCUAAUAGAUGGAUACGGGCCGGAUGAGCUGGUUGGGAAGGUAAUGGCUUACCAAGGCAACGAGGCGUAGCCGACCUGAGAGGGUGAUCGGCCACCCUGGAGCUGAGCCACGGUCCAGACUCCUACGGGAGGACGCAGUAGGGAAUCUUACGCAAUGGGGGAGAGCCUGACGGAGCAACGCGGCGUGAGUGAUGAAGGUCCUCGGAUCGUAAAACUCUGUUAUUAGGGGAGAACAAAUGUGGACGUAACCAUGCAGGUCUUGACGGUACCGGAUCAGAAAGCCCCGGCUAACUACGUG